UGUGUAGGCGGUUCUUUAAGUUUGGUGUGAAAUCUCCCGGCUUAACCGGGAGGGUGCGCCGAAUACUGAGGGACUAGAGUACGGGAGAGGAAAGUGGAAUUCCUGGUGUAGCGGUGAAAUGCGUAGAUAUCAGGAGGAACACCGGUGGUGUAGACGGCUUUCUGGACCGUAACUGACGCUGAGACACGAAAGCGUGGGUAGCAAACAGGAUUAGAUACCCUGGUAGUCCACGCCCUAAACGAUGCAUAUUUGGUGUGGGUCAUUCAGUUGAUCCGUGCCGGAGCUAACGCGUUAAAUAUGCCGCCUGGGGAGUACAGUCGCAAGGCUGAA
Molecule: ribosomal RNA, 330 nt
Filed under: uncultured bacterium
Lineage: Bacteria
Description: bacterial SSU rRNA
Rfam family: Bacterial small subunit ribosomal RNA
Source: RNAcentral